This 585-nucleotide ribosomal RNA is filed under the name uncultured bacterium. Its description in RNAcentral is "bacterial SSU rRNA". It matches the Rfam family "Bacterial small subunit ribosomal RNA", at positions 8 to 582 of the family's 1533-position model. The record is from RNAcentral.
AGAGUUUGAUUCUGGCUCAGAGUGAACGCUGGCGGCAGGCCUAACACAUGCAAGUCGAACGGUAGCACAGAGGAGCUUGCUCCUUGGGUGACGAGUGGCGGACGGGUGAGGAAUAUAUCGGAAUCUACCCAAUCGUGGGGGAUAACGUAGGGAAACUUACGCUAAUACCGCAUACGAUCUGAGGAUGAAAGCGGCGGACCGCAAGGCGUCGCGCGAUUGGAUGAGCCGAUAUCCGAUUAGCUAGUUGGUAAGCUUUUACCUUACCAAGGCGACGAUCGGUAGCUGGUCUGAGAGGAUGAUCAGCCACACUGGAACUGAGACACGGUCCAGACUCCUACGGGAGGCAGCAGUGGGGAAUAUUGGACAAUGGGCGCAAGCCUGAUCCAGCCAUGCCGCGUGUGUGAAGAAGGCCUUCGGGUUGUAAAGCACUUUUGUUGGGAAAGAAAAGCGGCCGGUUAAUACCCGGUUGUUCUGACGGUACCCAAAGAAUAAGCACCGGCUAACUUCGUGCCAGCAGCCGCGGUAAUACGAAGGGUGCAAGCGUUACUCGGAAUUACUGGGCGUAAAGCGUGCGUAGGUGGUUUG